RNAcentral lists this long non-coding RNA (445 nucleotides) under Salmo salar (Atlantic salmon). RNAcentral describes it as "lncRNA (ENSSSAG00000105432.1)". The record is from RNAcentral. Lineage: Eukaryota; Metazoa; Chordata; Actinopteri; Salmoniformes; Salmonidae.
CGUAUGUUGUAGCGUUGUCCGACUAACUCACCCCUUGUGGACGUAUGUUGUAGCGUUGUCCGACUAACUCACCCCUUGUGGACGUAUGUUGUAGCGUUGUCAGACUAACUCACCCCUUGUGGACGUGCGUUGUCCGACUAACUCACCCCUUGUGGACGUAUGUUGUAGCGUUGUCUGACUAACUCACCCCUUGUGGACGUAUGUUGUAGCGUUGUGUGACUAACUCACCCCUUGUGGACGUAUGUUGUAGCGUUGUCCGACUAACUCACCCCUUGUGGACGUAUGUUGUAGCAUUGUCCGACUAACUCACCCCUUGUGGACGUAUGUUGUAGCAUUGUCCGACUAACUCACCCCUUGUGGACGUGCGUUGUAGCGUUGUCCGACUAACUCGCCCCUUGUGGACGUGCGUUGUCCGACUAACUCACCCCUUGUGGACGUAUGUUGG